Molecule: ribosomal RNA, 117 nt
Filed under: Sinocyclocheilus grahami
Lineage: Eukaryota; Metazoa; Chordata; Actinopteri; Cypriniformes; Cyprinidae
Source: RNAcentral
GCCGGCAGCCAUAUCACCCUGCAGCCCAAGACUGCUUGCCCACUGAAGCUAAGCAGGGCUGAGCCUGGUCAGUACCUGGAUGGGAGACCUCCUGGGAAAACUAGGUUGCUGCUGGAA